Molecule: small RNA, 29 nt
Filed under: Bombyx mori (domestic silkworm)
Lineage: Eukaryota; Metazoa; Arthropoda; Insecta; Lepidoptera; Bombycidae
Description: ovarian small RNA-1633
Source: RNAcentral
UUGGCUCUGCUGGCGAGCCGUCCUCAGCG